GAUGAACGCUGGCGGCGUGCCUAAUACAUGCAAGUCGAGCGAACGGACGAGAAGCUUGCUUCUCUGAUGUUAGCGGCGGACGGGUGAGUAACACGUGGAUAACCUACCUAUCAGACUGGGAUAACUUCGGGAAACCGGAGCUAAUACCGGAUAAUCUUUUGAACCGCAUGGUUCAAAAGUGAAAGACGGUCUUGCUGUCACUUAUAGAUGGAUCCGCGCUGCAUUAGCUAGUUGGUAAGGUAACGGCUUACCAAGGCAACGAUGCAUAGCCGACCUGAGAGGGUGAUCGGCCACACUGGAACUGAGACACGGUCCAGACUCCUACGGGAGGCAGCAGUAGGGAAUCUUCCGCAAUGGGCGAAAGCCUGACGAAGCAACGCCGCGUGAGUGAUGAAGGUCUUCGGAUCGUAAAACUCUGUUAUUAGGGAAGAACAUAUGUGUAAGUAACUGUGCACAUCUUGACGGUACCUAAUCAGAAAGCCACGGCUAACUACGUG
This 497-nucleotide ribosomal RNA is filed under the name uncultured bacterium. RNAcentral describes it as "partial 16S ribosomal RNA". It matches the Rfam family "Bacterial small subunit ribosomal RNA", at positions 28 to 507 of the family's 1533-position model. The record is from RNAcentral.